CCUACGGGUGGCAGCAGUGGGGAAUAUUGGACAAUGGGCGCAAGCCUGACCCAGCAACGCCGCGUGAGGGAAGAAGGCUCUCGGGUUGUAAACUUCUUUUAUCAGGGAAGAAACAAGUGACGGUACCUGAUGAAUAAGCCGCGGCUAACUACGUGGCAGCAGCCGAGGUAAUACGUAGGUGGGAAGCGUUAUCCGGAUUUAAUGGGUGUAAAGGGCGUGUAGGCGGGAAAGCAAGUCAGAUGUGAAAACCAUGGGCUCAACCUGUGGCCUGCAUUUGACACUGGUUGUCUUGAGUACUGGAGAGGCAGACGGAAUUCCUAGUGUAGCGGUGAAAUGCGUAGAUAUUAGGAGGAACACCAGUGGCGAAGGCGGUCUGCUGGACAGCAACUGACGCUGAGGCGCGAAAGCGUGGGGAGCAAACAGGAUUAGAUACCCUAGUAGUC
Molecule: ribosomal RNA, 443 nt
Filed under: uncultured bacterium
Lineage: Bacteria
Description: partial 16S ribosomal RNA
Rfam family: Bacterial small subunit ribosomal RNA
Source: RNAcentral